This 1145-nucleotide ribosomal RNA is filed under the name uncultured cyanobacterium. RNAcentral describes it as "bacterial SSU rRNA". It matches the Rfam family "Bacterial small subunit ribosomal RNA", at positions 377 to 1533 of the family's 1533-position model. Lineage: Bacteria; Bacillati; Cyanobacteriota. The record is from RNAcentral.
CGAAGCCUGACGGAGCAAUACCGCGUGAGGGAAGAAGGCUUUUGGGUUGUAAACCUCUUUUAUCAGGGAAGAAGAAUUGACGGUACCUGAAGAAAAAGCAUCGGCUAACUCCGUGCCAGCAGCCGCGGUAAUACGGAGGAUGCAAGCGUUAUCCGGAAUCAUUGGGCGUAAAGGGUCCGCAGGUGGCGAAUAAAGUCUGCUGUUAAAGACCGGGGCUUAACUCCGGAAAGGCAGUGGAAACUGAUUAGCUAGAGUACGGUAGGGGUAGAGGGAAUUCCCAGUGUAGCGGUGAAAUGCGUAGAUAUUGGGAAGAACACCGGUGGCGAAAGCGCUCUACUAGGCCGAAACUGACACUGAGGGACGAAAGCUAGGGUAGCGAAAGGGAUUAGAUACCCCUGUAGUCUUAGCGGUAAACGAUGGAUACUAGGUGUAGCUUGUAUCGACCCGAGCUGUGCCGAAGCUAACGCGAUAUGUAUCCCGCCUGGGGAGUACGCACGCAAGUGUGAAACUCAAAGGAAUUGACGGGGGCCCGCACAAGCGGUGGAGUAUGUGGUUUAAUUCGAUGCAACGCGAAGAACCUUACCAGGGCUUGACAUGUCGCGAAUCUAGCGGAAACGUUAGAGUGCCUUAGGGAAUGCGAACACAGGUGGUGCAUGGCUGUCGUCAGCUCGUGUCGUGAGAUGUUGGGUUAAGUCCCGCAACGAGCGCAACCCUCGUCCUUAGUUGCCAAUAUUAAGUUAGGCACUCUAGGGAGACUGCCGGGGACAACUCGGAGGAAGGUGGGGAUGACGUCAAGUCAGCAUGCCCCUUACGUCCUGGGCGACACACGUACUACAAUGGUUGGGACAAAGGGCAGCAAGCUCGCGAGAGUAAGCGAAUCUCAUCAAACCCAGCCACAGUUCAGAUUGCAGGCUGCAACUCGCCUGCAUGAAGUAGGAAUCGCUAGUAAUCGCAGGUCAGCAUACUGCGGUGAAUUCGUUCCCGGGCCUUGUACACACCGCCCGUCACACCAUGGAAGCUGGCUACGCCCGAAGUCGUUACCCUAACCCGGUUUUGGGAGGGGGAUGCCGAAGGUAGAGCUAGUGACUGGGGUGAAGUCGUAACAAGGUAGCCGUACCGGAAGGUGUGGCUGGAUCACCUCCUUU